CAGGCCUAACACAUGCAAGUCGAACGGUCCUUUCGGGGAUAGUGGCAAACGGGUGCGUAACGCGUAAGCAACCUGCCCCAAACUGGGGGAUAGCCCGGCGAAAGCGGGGGUAAACCCGCACGGUCCAUUUCCACCACCUGGUGGGCUUGGUAAACAUUAAUGGGUUUGGGAGGGGCUUGCGUCUGAUUAGCUAGUUGGCGGGGUAAGGGCCCACCAAGGCCAUGAUCAGUAGGGGUUCUGAGAGGAUUGGCCCCCACAUGGGUACUGAGAUACGGACCCAACUCCUACGAGAGGCAGCAGUAGGGAAUAUUGGGCAGUGGGCGACAGCCUGACCCAGCCAUGCCGCGUGGAGGAUGAAGGCGCUCAGCGUUGUAAACUUCUUUUACCGGGGAAGAACGGCAGUCCUGGGGGAUUGUGUGACGGUACCCGGGGAAUAAGCACCGGCUAACUCCGUGCCAGCAGCCGCGGUAAU
Molecule: ribosomal RNA, 472 nt
Filed under: uncultured bacterium
Lineage: Bacteria
Description: bacterial SSU rRNA
Rfam family: Bacterial small subunit ribosomal RNA
Source: RNAcentral